GUGGAGGGGCAGGGAGCAGAGGACAACAAAUUGGAGUGGUGAGAUACAAAACAAAAACACUUCAAUCUAGCAGGUUUUGUAACUAGGAUUUCUAUAUACAAUAUAAGGCAGCAAGAAUAUCAUUCUUCAAAGGAACUGUUAACAACAGCGAUGCCUGGGGACAAACAACUGAGGUUCCUGGAGAAUCCACAUAUUCCUUUAAAUAAUUUCUACCUCGUGAUUUAGGACUAUAUUUUUAUAACAUAACCUUUC
This 252-nucleotide long non-coding RNA is filed under the name Bos taurus (domestic cattle). RNAcentral's name for it is "long non-coding RNA NONBTAT025156". The record is from RNAcentral. Lineage: Eukaryota; Metazoa; Chordata; Mammalia; Artiodactyla; Bovidae.